This 218-nucleotide unclassified non-coding RNA is filed under the name fungal sp. RNAcentral describes it as "partial internal transcribed spacer region". The stretch from base 1 to 46 matches the Rfam family "Eukaryotic small subunit ribosomal RNA", at positions 1786 to 1831 of the family's 1831-position model. Lineage: Eukaryota; Fungi. The record is from RNAcentral.
AAGUCGUAACAAGGUUUCCGUAGGUGAACCUGCGGAAGGAUCAUUAACACGUAUCCAAACGUUAAACAACCCCGUGAACAUACAACCUGCUCUGGUCGCCCGCUCGCAUGGACAAGCCCGAGCUAACACCGCUCCCUUCCGAACCCCACUUUAUUGCCUUGCCUGUAAGCAUCCAUACGGAUGCCGAACAACUGUUAACAAUGGAUAUCUUGGUUCUC